This is a long non-coding RNA of Drosophila sulfurigaster albostrigata, 455 nucleotides long. RefSeq lists it as uncharacterized. The transcript is spliced from 2 exons. NCBI's taxonomy places the organism in Eukaryota, Metazoa, Arthropoda, Insecta, Diptera, Drosophilidae. The record is from RefSeq and is a predicted model, not a curated record.
CAAGCUAAGAAUAUUGUCUCCGGUGUUUUGGAACGCGCCACGAGGAAUCACAUCGAUCAGAUCGUAUUUGAAAUGAAAAACAGAAUACGCUUCUGCUGAAUGAUAUAUACCGGGAAUAUCUAAGUAUGUAGAAAACUGACGAAAAUCUGUAUCCGAAGGUAUAAUGCCCGAUUGGAAAAUUUCCUCCGCCAUAGUUUGAGCAAACGGAUAUUUGAUGCAUUGCUUGUAAUACUAUAAAAGUAAUUUAGUAUAUAGAAGCUUUCUGGAUAAUGUAUGUUUCUGGUAUUGAUUAUAGUACUUACCUUAAUAAGCCAUGGGUGAUUGGGACCACUUUGGAAUAGAAUGUCCUUGCCUCCACUGCCUGCAGCGUCCAAGUUGAUGACAGCCCUGCAAGCCUUUGCCCAUGGGUCAUUUAAUAUGAAACCAUGAGAUGCUUCCAAUGCUCCUUCUUCAGC